UCCUGAACCACCUCGAGGACGCCUUGUGCGAGCUGGAAGCCGGCUACGCCGUCAACGAAAAAGACACCAAGCUCGCUCU
RNAcentral lists this small RNA (79 nucleotides) under uncultured Pelagophyceae. RNAcentral describes it as "partial Betaproteobacteria transfer-messenger RNA". Lineage: Eukaryota; Pelagophyceae. The record is from RNAcentral.